Molecule: ribosomal RNA, 3002 nt
Filed under: Proteus mirabilis
Lineage: Bacteria; Pseudomonadati; Pseudomonadota; Gammaproteobacteria; Enterobacterales; Morganellaceae
Description: 23S ribosomal RNA
Rfam family: Bacterial large subunit ribosomal RNA
Source: RNAcentral
GGGUUGUGAGGUUAAGCGAAUAAGCGUACACGGUGGAUGCCUAGGCAAUCAGAGGCGAUGAAGGACGUGCUAAUCUGCGAAAAGCGUCGGUAAGGUGAUAUGAACCGUUAUACCCGACGAUAUCCGAAUGGGGAAACCCAGUAUCCAAUGGAUACUAUCAUUAACUGAAUCCAUAGGUUAAUGAGGCGAACCGGGAGAACUGAAACAUCUCAGUACCCCGAGGAAAAGAAAUCAACCGAGAUUCCCCUAGUAGCGGCGAGCGAACGGGGAGCAGCCCAGAGUCUUAAUCAAUAGCAGUGUCAGGAGAACGGUCUGGAAAGUCCGGCAGUAAAGGGUGAUAGCCCCGUAUCUGAAGAUGCUGUUAUUGUGAACUCGACGAGUAGGGCGGGACACGUGUUAUCCUGUCUGAAUAUGGGGGGACCAUCCUCCAAGGCUAAAUACUCCUGAUUGACCGAUAGUGAACCAGUACCGUGAGGGAAAGGCGAAAAGAACCCCGGCGAGGGGAGUGAAAAAGAACCUGAAACCGUGUACGUACAAGCAGUAGGAGCCNNNNNNNNNNNNNNNNNNNNNNNNNNNNNNNNNNNNNNNNNNNNNNNNNNNNNNNNNNNNNNNNNNNNNNNNNNNAUGGGGUGACUGCGUACCUUUUGUAUAAUGGGUCAGCGACUUAUAUUCUGUAGCAAGGUUAACCGUAUAGGGGAGCCGUAGGGAAACCGAGUCUUAACUGGGCGAAUGAGUUGCAGGGUAUAGACCCGAAACCCGGUGAUCUAUCCAUGGGCAGGUUGAAGGUUGGGUAACACUAACUGGAGGACCGAACCGACUAAUGUUGAAAAAUUAGCGGAUGACUUGUGGAUGGGGGUGAAAGGCCAAUCAAACCGGGAGAUAGCUGGUUCUCCCCGAAAGCUAUUUAGGUAGCGCCUCGUGAACUCAUCUUCGGGGGUAGAGCACUGUUUCGACUAGGGGGUCAUCCCGACUUACCAACUCGAUGCAAACUGCGAAUACCGAAGAAUGUUAUCACGGGAGACACACGGCGGGUGCUAACGUCCGUCGUGAAGAGGGAAACAACCCAGACCGCCAGCUAAGGUCCCAAAGUCAUGGUUAAGUGGGAAACGAAGUGGGAAGGCUCAGACAGCCAGGAUGUUGGCUUAGAAGCAGCCAUCAUUUAAAGAAAGCGUAAUAGCUCACUGGUCGAGUCGGCCCGCGCGGAAGAUGUAACGGGGCUAAACCAUGCACCGAAGCUGCGGCAGCGACACAAUGUGUUGUUGGGUAGGGGAGCGUUCUGUAAGCCUGCGAAGGUGUACUGUGAGGUAUGCUGGAGGUAUCAGAAGUGCGAAUGCUGACAUAAGUAACGAUAAUGCGGGUGAAAAACCCGCACGCCGGAAGACCAAGGGUUCCUGUCCAACGUUAAUCGGGGCAGGGUGAGUCGACCCCUAAGGCGAGGCUGAAAAGCGUAGUCGAUGGGAAACGGGUUAAUAUUCCCGUACUGGUGGUAACUGCGAUGGGGGAACGGAGAAGGCUAGGUUGUCCGGGCGACGGUCGUCCCGGUUCAAGCAGGUAGGCAGAGUGAUUAGGCAAAUCCGGUCACUUAAUGCUGAGAUGUGAUGACGAACCACUAAGGUGGUGAAGCAAUUGAUGCCCCGCUUCCAGGAAAAGCCUCUAAGCUUCAGGUUACCAACAAUCGUACCCCAAACCGACACAGGUGGUCAGGUAGAGAAUACUCAGGCGCUUGAGAGAACUCGGGUGAAGGAACUAGGCAAAAUGGUGCCGUAACUUCGGGAGAAGGCACGCUGGCGGUAGGUAAAGUCCCUCGCGGACGGCGCUGAAGCCAGUCGAAGAUACCAGCUGGCUGCAACUGUUUAUUAAAAACACAGCACUGUGCAAACACGAAAGUGGACGUAUACGGUGUGACGCCUGCCCGGUGCUGGAAGGUUAAUUGAUGGGGUUAGCCGCAAGGCGAAGCUCCUGAUCGAAGCCCCAGUAAACGGCGGCCGUAACUAUAACGGUCCUAAGGUAGCGAAAUUCCUUGUCGGGUAAGUUCCGACCUGCACGAAUGGCGUAAUGAUGGCCAGGCUGUCUCCACCCGAGACUCAGUGAAAUUGAACUCGCUGUGAAGAUGCAGUGUACCCGCGGCAAGACGGAAAGACCCCGUGAACCUUUACUAUAGCUUGACACUGAACAUUGAGCCUUGAUGUGUAGGAUAGGUGGGAGGCUUUGAAGUGUGGACGCCAGUCUGCAUGGAGCCAACCUUGAAAUACCACCCUUUAACGUUUGAUGUUCUAACCUAGGCCCAUAAACUGGGUCGGGGACCGUGUCUGGUGGGUAGUUUGACUGGGGCGGUCUCCUCCUAAAGAGUAACGGAGGAGCACGAAGGUUGGCUAAGCAUGGUCGGACAUCAUGCGGUUAGUGCAAAGGCAUAAGCCAGCUUGACUGCGAGAGUGACGGCUCGAGCAGGUACGAAAGUAGGUCUUAGUGAUCCGGUGGUUCUGAAUGGAAGGGCCAUCGCUCAACGGAUAAAAGGUACUCCGGGGAUAACAGGCUGAUACCGCCCAAGAGUUCAUAUCGACGGCGGUGUUUGGCACCUCGAUGUCGGCUCAUCACAUCCUGGGGCUGAAGUAGGUCCCAAGGGUAUGGCUGUUCGCCAUUUAAAGUGGUACGCGAGCUGGGUUUAGAACGUCGUGAGACAGUUCGGUCCCUAUCUGCCGUGGGCGUUGGAAGAUUGAGAGGGGUUGCUCCUAGUACGAGAGGACCGGAGUGAACGCACCACUGGUGUUCGGGUUGUCAUGCCAAUGGCAUUGCCCGGUAGCUAAGUGCGGAAGAGAUAACCGCUGAAAGCAUCUAAGCGGGAAACUUGCCUCGAGAUGAGUCUUCCCUGUCGCUUUAAGCGACCUAAAGGAACGUUUAAGACUAAGACGUUGAUAGGCUGGGUGUGUAAGCGUAGCGAUACGUUGAGCUAACCAGUACUAAUGAACCGUGAGGCUUAACCUGACAACACCGAAAGUGUUUUG